AUUGAACGCUGGCGGCAGGCCUAACACAUGCAAGUCGAGCGGUAGAGAGAAGCUUGCUUCUCUUGAGAGCGGCGGACGGGUGAGUAAUGCCUAGGAAUCUGCCUGGUAGUGGGGGAUAACGUUCGGAAACGAACGCUAAUACCGCAUACGUCCUACGGGAGAAAGCAGGGGACCUUCGGGCCUUGCGCUAUCAGAUGAGCCUAGGUCGGAUUAGCUAGUUGGUGAGGUAAUGGCUCACCAAGGCGACGAUCCGUAACUGGUCUGAGAGGAUGAUCAGUCACACUGGAACUGAGACACGGUCCAGACUCCUACGGGAGGCAGCAGUGGGAAUAUUGGACAAUGGGCGAAAGCCUGAUCCAGCCAUGCCGCGUGUGUGAAGAAGGUCUUCGGAUUGUAAAGCACUUUAAGUUGGGAGGAAGGGUAGUAACCUAAUACGUUGCUACUUUGACGUUACCGACAGAAUAAGCACCGGCUAACUUCGU
This 482-nucleotide ribosomal RNA is filed under the name uncultured bacterium. RNAcentral describes it as "bacterial SSU rRNA". It matches the Rfam family "Bacterial small subunit ribosomal RNA", at positions 30 to 506 of the family's 1533-position model. The record is from RNAcentral.